UUAAAUCCCAAUAGGCCCGGUAUCUCCCAAAAACCUGAUACCUACUUUUUUUCCCCUCUAUCCCAUGGCACCGUCAAAGGGAGUGGUGUACUUCGAUAUUCACCUGAAAUCGGCUUCGAAGAACAUAAACUGAGCCCAUCAUCGUCGACUUCAAAGGAAAUAAGGGUGGCCUGAUAGAAUUUGAAGGGACAAUGCUCUAGAUCGAAGAUUAAGAGGGUCGAUUUUGAAUGAGGUGGAAGUGAUGGUGUUUCUGCCAUGGCUACUGUUAAAAAGGGAACGAAAUUGGAAUCGCAUAAGGUAAGAGCGUGAAUGGUUGGAAUUAGAUUUGGAAGAGGUUCUGUUUGCUCCUUUUCUAGGACUGUGUGCAGUUUUUAUUCCUCAGCAUUUGCAAAAACAGAGAAUUCGCUUUCAUUGGCAAUUGCAACGAGGUUUUGGAUUCAUCCACAUAAUCGUCAAAUUUUUGCGGUGGAGCAAUGACUCUAUUGAGAGGUUAAGCAAUAUUCAGAGUUUGUCUCUAAGUGAACUUAGUGAUGACAUUAUAAGUGAUGGACAUGUCGCAUCCACUGGUGACAAUAUGUUGUCGUUUUUCCUUUUUGCUCUUACAAUUCACGAUUGGUUUCAAGAAUAAUGAAGAAUGGGUAUGGUGGGAAAUGGGAAUGAGUGGUGAUGGAGGGACCGUUUGUCGACUGAUGUUGAGAAAAUGGUGUGUGUAAAUACCAGUGUGGGGUAUUUUUGGAGUGGAAAUCUCAUGAGGUUGAAAAGGUGGAAAUGAUGGUGGUUUAAAGAUGAUAGGUCAAUAUUAAUGGAGGAAAAUGUGUUAACACGAGGGGAGUUCAUGCCAAUGAGAGCACCAUUUGUUGGGAAUGUUGUUUGCGGAUGCUAAAGUGAAAUAAAAGCAAUUAUCAAAACAUGUUAAAUUA
Long non-coding RNA from Lathyrus oleraceus (garden pea), 920 nucleotides. RefSeq lists it as uncharacterized. Lineage: Eukaryota; Viridiplantae; Streptophyta; Magnoliopsida; Fabales; Fabaceae. The transcript has 2 exons. The record is from RefSeq and is a predicted model, not a curated record.